Molecule: ribosomal RNA, 253 nt
Filed under: uncultured bacterium
Lineage: Bacteria
Description: partial 16S ribosomal RNA
Rfam family: Bacterial small subunit ribosomal RNA
Source: RNAcentral
UACGUAGGGUGCGAGCGUUAAUCGGAAUUACUGGGCGUAAAGUGUGCGCAGGUGGCUGAGCAAGUCGAGUGUGAAAGCCCCGGGCUUAACCUGGGAAUUGCGCUCGAAACUACUUGGCUGGAGUGUGGCAGAGGGAGGUGGAAUUCCACGUGUAGCGGUGAAAUGCGUAGAGAUCGGAAGGAACACCCAAGGCGAAAGCACUCUGCUGGGCCGACACUGACACUGAGGGACGAAAGCUAGGGGAGCGAAUGGG